UGGGGAAUAUUGGACAAUGGGGGGAACCCUGAUCCAGCCAUGCCGCGUGUGUGAAGAAGGCCUUAUGGUUGUAAAGCACUUUAAGCGAGGAGGAGGGUACUGGUAUUAAUACUACCAGCUACUGGACGUUACUCGCAGAGUAAGCACCGGCUAACUCUGUGCCAGCAGCCGCGGUAAUACAGAGGGUGCGAGCGUUAAUCGGAUUUACUGGGCGUAAAGCGUGCGUAGGCGGCUAAUUGAGUCGGAUGUGAAAUCCCCGAGCUUAACUUGGGAAUUGCAUUCGAUACUGGUUAGCUAGAGUGUGGGAGAGGAUGGUAGAAUUCCAGGUGUAGCGGUGAAAUGCGUAGAGAUCUGGAGGAAUACCGAUGGCGAAGGCAGCCAUCUGGCCUAACACUGACGCUGAGGUACGAAAGCAUGGGGAGCAAACAGG
RNAcentral lists this ribosomal RNA (430 nucleotides) under Pseudomonadota bacterium. Its description in RNAcentral is "Proteobacteria bacterium partial 16S ribosomal RNA". It matches the Rfam family "Bacterial small subunit ribosomal RNA", at positions 355 to 776 of the family's 1533-position model. The record is from RNAcentral. Lineage: Bacteria; Pseudomonadati; Pseudomonadota.